AAGUCGUAACAAGGUUUCCGUAGGUGAACCUGCGGAAGGAUCAUUAACUCAAUAUAUGUAUGGUCACUUCGGUGGCUGUGCAUCAUAUUACCAAAACCAAAUUAACAAUCCGUGAAACUAUAACAAAACCAAAAUGAAUGGGUUCGCGUGUCAUUACUUCGUUUGAAUGCACGUACUCAGCCAAUACCAAUUCCACGUAAUUUUUAACCAUAUUAACCCAUUACUGUAACGAUCUUUUCACUUGUGUCAAGAGCGUACUAAAACAAAAGCGUGUCAUUACUUAAUUGAAUGCAUGCACCAAUUUUAUUCUAAAACAGAGAAAUACAACUCUUAACAAUGGAUAUCUUGGUUCUC
RNAcentral lists this unclassified non-coding RNA (354 nucleotides) under fungal sp. RNAcentral describes it as "partial internal transcribed spacer region". The stretch from base 1 to 46 matches the Rfam family "Eukaryotic small subunit ribosomal RNA", at positions 1786 to 1831 of the family's 1831-position model. The record is from RNAcentral. Lineage: Eukaryota; Fungi.